UUGUGUCUGUUUUCACAUUUGCUUUAAGUUCCAUUCUUCCCGUUCCUCUAGAGGAACCAGGAACUAAAGCAGAACAAGUUGAACUGGCUCUUGAAAAUUGAGAAUGGACAAAGAGCUAUCUAUAUAGGAAAACAGUGUGUUGGUUGGCUGGUGGAUGGGUGUUUGUUUUUAAGACACUAGCUCUCCGGCAGAAAGCUGGGGAUAGACUUCAGGGAUCUACCCUGACUACCCGUGCCAACCUUUGGCCCCUUGGGCCUUUCUUUUUCGCAUCCUCCAAAGAAAGGUCCAUGUCUGCCUUUCUUUGUGCCCAGGGACUCAGGAGGGAGGGUGAAGAGUUUGAAGAGAUGGGCUGUGGCAGGUUUUGGACAGCAGAGCCCGUGAGGCAUAUAUUUCUUUCCCUUUCACAGUUUCUCUACAAUAAUUGGAGUUGGUGUUGGAGCUGGAGCCUACAUCCUGGCGAGAUAUGCUCUUAACCACCCGGACACUGUUGAAGGUCUUGUCCUCAUCAACAUCGAUCCCAAUGCCAAGGGUUGGAUGGAUUGGGCAGCCCACAAGGUUUGGAGGGGCGUGUGUGCUGAGACCUAGGGUUGGGGAUCCCCUCGU
Molecule: small RNA, 603 nt
Filed under: Pongo abelii (Sumatran orangutan)
Lineage: Eukaryota; Metazoa; Chordata; Mammalia; Primates; Hominidae
Description: retained intron
Source: RNAcentral